Xenia sp. Carnegie-2017 is the source of this 526-nucleotide long non-coding RNA. RefSeq lists it as uncharacterized. The transcript is spliced from 2 exons. The record is from RefSeq and is a predicted model, not a curated record. Lineage: Eukaryota; Metazoa; Cnidaria; Anthozoa; Malacalcyonacea; Xeniidae.
GGCAAAGAAAUGCAAAAAUGGCGAACCUUGUGACAAAGAGGUUGGAUCUUCCGGUGCGAAAAUUGGUAAUCAGACAGCAAAUUUUGCUGUCCAUUCCAACAUUAUAACAGAAGACAUAAUGCUUGGGGUAUUUACGACCAAAGGUGCGCAAGACUCAGACAAAGCCAGGAUAAAGUUAUCAGUCCAAAAGAAUUCCAAGCAAGUGAAAAGUAGGAGGAAGUCACUGAGGCAUCUCAGAAAGAAGUUUCUGGACAAUGCUGAGGACUUGGAAGGGGUAACUUAUGAAGCAGGUAGCUUCUAAGCCUUCUAAGUUGCAGAUGAACUGGAAGAAACUUUACAUUGGAUUUUCUUAUUUUCGCAUUUUUGCAAUAGUCAGUGAUUUUUGUGACACUAUAAAUUUGUAAAUAUUUGAUGCAGAGGCUUGAUAUUUGGCAUACUUACUAACUAUAUUAUCCUCUAUUAUGUGACACUCUUGAAUUUUUAAUGCUGUUUAUAUUUAAUGAAUUAAAGCCAAAUUUCUUUCAAA